AAUUCUUACACAACAUAACACUCCAUGCUCACUCAUUCACUGUAAUUAUCUUGAACCCCUAAUUGUAGAGAAAAAAAUGUACAAAUAUAAUGAAGAUGAGAAUAAGUACGAUAUGUUUUCACAAGUACGUUUCACACAAGUAUUUCAACAAAAAUUAACUAUCAAGUCUGCCUAACAUGUGUGCAUGCAUCUGUAUGCUUUAACUCACGCAAAGUCUUCUAAAAAUGAACAUGUUCCAUAUAUGUCGUGUGACUCGUGUCCUUGCAACCAUGUCCAAUUCUAGGAUGUGUGUCAUAUCUGAUUUUUACAUUCUAGUGUAGAAAAUAUUUUGAUAUGUACCUGCAUCCCUAUUCUCCUUCAUAUAUACUAGAGGAUUUAUAUCAACUAUGGCAAUGAUAAUGUCCUCUAUGCAGUAACUCAGUUAGCACAAACUGUGAUGCGUAGUGCUAUUGGAAAAAUGCCACUUGACAGGACCUUUAUGGAGAGAGACACUAUAAAUGCAAACAUUGUGAGAUGCAGCACAUCAUUAGUGUUACUUCCAUGUCUUUAUCCAUCAGUAUAAAAUAAACUUUCACUGGCCCACACAACAUAGAGGUAAAGGUGUUGAGCAUCAGAAACAAAGUCCCUUACUCGUGAUCGUGGUGUUACUUGCCUUACUGCAAGAGAGAAAAUUUCAGCAAUCGGAAUUCUGCAAUACAGAAUUAUAGUGAUUUGAUCACUUAAAAUUAAGGGCUAUAGCUUUAAAGGUUGCCAGUUUCCCAGCAAAAAACUCUAUCAAUUUCAUUUUCUAUUACGAGUUUAAGAUGUAAAAAGAACAUGCAACAAGAGCAGUUAAACUCAACUGCAAUCUUGAAUUCUGAUCAGUCUGCAAGGAGUGAAGAACAAAGACUUCUGCCAGUCCUGUCAAAAAUUGACCAAUCUGAAACCUGACCAGACUUAAACCUCAAAAUAACAGUGCAGGCAGUUAACCUCUAUAUUGUCCUUAUGGCGCGUUCAAUUUGCUUUAAACUUAAAAGAUUCCAACAAAUACAUUUUUUUAAGCAGUAGCAGAAUAGCAAUAGCAGAACAGCAAAGCAAUGCAAGCAGUAGCAGAAUAGCAAUAGCAGAACAGCAAAGCAAUGCAAGCAGUAGCAGAAUAGCAAUAGCAGAACAGCAAAGCAAUGCAAGCAGUAGCAGAAUAGCAUUAGCAGAACAGCAAGCAGAACACAAAGUAGCAGAAGCAGAACAAUAGUAGCAGAAGCAGUAGCAGAACAUCAGUAGCAGUAGCAGAAGCAGAACAGCAGUAGUUAUGAUAUCCUGGCUGUGAUAGUUCUUGGAGUUAUCGGAGGUGUUCUGGGCAGCUUUUAUAAUUAUCUUGUUGACAUGCACUAUCGUUCACAACGUUGUAUCCUGGCUGUGAUAUGUUUUUUUUUUCAGUUUUUAAAGUGUAAUAUUACAAGUUAUUGAGGCAAAUAUAUGUG
Long non-coding RNA from Chenopodium quinoa (quinoa), 1460 nucleotides. RefSeq lists it as uncharacterized. The transcript is spliced from 3 exons. Lineage: Eukaryota; Viridiplantae; Streptophyta; Magnoliopsida; Caryophyllales; Amaranthaceae. The record is from RefSeq and is a predicted model, not a curated record.